RNAcentral lists this transfer RNA (73 nucleotides) under Dipodomys ordii (Ord's kangaroo rat). It matches the Rfam family "tRNA". Rfam says of the family: Transfer RNA (tRNA) molecules are approximately 80 nucleotides in length. Their secondary structure includes four short double-helical elements and three loops (D, anti-codon, and T loops). Lineage: Eukaryota; Metazoa; Chordata; Mammalia; Rodentia; Heteromyidae. The record is from Rfam by way of RNAcentral.
GCAGUUGUGGCUCAAGUGGUAGAGCACCUGCCUGAAAAGCACAGGGCCCUGAGUUCAAAUCCCAGUACUGACU